Molecule: ribosomal RNA, 508 nt
Filed under: uncultured bacterium
Lineage: Bacteria
Description: partial 16S ribosomal RNA
Rfam family: Bacterial small subunit ribosomal RNA
Source: RNAcentral
AUUGAACGCUAGCGGCACGCCUAACACAUGCAAGUCGAACGGCAGCGUGUCCUACUUUCGGGUGGGAUGACGGCGAGAGGCGGACGGGUGAGUAAUACGUAGGAAUCUGCCUUGAAGUGGGGGACAACCACGCGAAAGCGUGGCUAAUACCGCAUAAUAUCUAAGGAUCAAAGCUGGGGACCGUAAAGCCUGGCACUUUGAGAUGAGCCUACGUUGGAUUAGCUUGUUGGUGAGGUAAAGGCUCACCCAGGUAACGAUCCAUAGCUGGUCUGGGCGGACGACCAGCCACACUGGAACUGAGACACGGCCCAGACUCCUACGGGAGGCAGCAGUGGGGAAUCUUGGACAAUGGGGGCAACCCUGAUCCAGCGAUGCCGCGUGUGUGAAGAAGGCCUUCGGGUUGUAAAGCACUUUUAGUUGGGAAGAAAGAUUUUUAUUAAAUAGAUUAAAACUUUGACAUUUCUAACAGAAACAGCACCGGCUAACUCUGAGCCAGCCGCCGCCGUAA